RNAcentral lists this small nuclear RNA (108 nucleotides) under Dasypus novemcinctus (nine-banded armadillo). The record is from RNAcentral. Lineage: Eukaryota; Metazoa; Chordata; Mammalia; Cingulata; Dasypodidae.
GUGCUCGCUUCAGAAGCAGAUAUACUAAAAUUGGAACAAUUCAGAGCACAUUUAGUGUGGCCCCUGAGCUAGCAUGACAUGCAAAUUCAUGCAGUGUUUCAUAUUUUU